This 330-nucleotide ribosomal RNA is filed under the name uncultured eukaryote. RNAcentral's name for it is "partial 18S ribosomal RNA". It matches the Rfam family "Eukaryotic small subunit ribosomal RNA", at positions 1470 to 1796 of the family's 1831-position model. The record is from RNAcentral.
CCCUUAGAUGUUCUGGGCCGCACGCGCGCUACACUGACGAAGUCAGCGAGCAUCUCCUACGCCGAAAGGUGCGGGGAAUCUUGUGAAACUUUGUCGUGCUGGGGAUUGAUUUUUGAAAUUCUUGAUCAUAAACGAGGAAUUCCUAGUAAGCGCAAGUCAGCAGCUUGCGUUGAUUACGUCCCUGCCCUUUGUACACACCGCCCGUCGCUACUACCGAUUGAAUGGUUUAGUGAGAUGUUUGGACCGGAACUCUCUUGCUCAGCAAUGGGCGAGAGAGAGUCUGGGAAGUCCCUCUAACUGUAUCAUUUAGAGGAAGUAAAAGUCGUAACA